Molecule: ribosomal RNA, 497 nt
Filed under: uncultured bacterium
Lineage: Bacteria
Description: partial 16S ribosomal RNA
Rfam family: Bacterial small subunit ribosomal RNA
Source: RNAcentral
GAUGAACGCUGGCGGCGUGCCUAAUACAUGCAAGUCGAGCGAACGGACGAGAAGCUUGCUUCUCUGAUGUUAGCGUCGGACGGGUGAGUAACACGUGGAUAACCUACCUAUAAGACUGGGAUAACUUCGGGAAACCUGAGCUAAUACCGGAUAAUAUUUUGAACCGCAUGGUUCAACAGUGAAAGACGGUCUUGCUGUCACUUAUAGAUGGAUCCGCGCUGCAUUAGCUAGUUGGUAAGGUAACGGCUUACCAAGGCAACGAUGCAUAGCCGACCUGAGAGGGUGAUCGGCCACACUGGAACUGAGACACGGUCCAGACUCCUACGGGAGGCAGCAGUAGGGAAUCUUCCGCAAUGGGCGAAAGCCUGACGGAGCAAAGCCGCGUGAGUGAUGAAGGUCUUCGGAUCGUAAAACUCUGUUAUUAGGGAAGAACAUAUGUGUAAGUAACUGUGCACAUCUUGACGGUACCUAAUCAGAAAGCCACGGCUAACUACGUG